This 253-nucleotide ribosomal RNA is filed under the name uncultured bacterium. Its description in RNAcentral is "partial 16S ribosomal RNA". It matches the Rfam family "Bacterial small subunit ribosomal RNA", at positions 524 to 776 of the family's 1533-position model. The record is from RNAcentral.
UACGUAGGGGGCAAGCGUUGUCCGGAAUUAUUGGGCGUAAAGAGCGUGUAGGCGGUCCGGUAAGUCAGCUGUGAAAGUCAAGGGCUCAACCCUUGAAAGCCGGUUGAUACUGUCGGGCUAGAGUCCGGAAGAGGCGAGUGGAAUUCCCGGUGUAGCGGUGAAAUGCGCAGAUAUCGGGAGGAGCACCAAUGGCGAAGGCAGCUCGCUGGGACGGUACUGACGCUGAGGCGCGAAAGCGUGGGUAGCAAACAGG